GGCAAGUUAAGUCAAUGGCAGACGCUUUGUAGAAUAAAGAAUGGGAGUUCAAAUCUCCCACUUGCCA
RNAcentral lists this transfer RNA (67 nucleotides) under Enterococcus faecalis. Its description in RNAcentral is "tRNA-Ser". It matches the Rfam family "tRNA". Rfam says of the family: Transfer RNA (tRNA) molecules are approximately 80 nucleotides in length. Their secondary structure includes four short double-helical elements and three loops (D, anti-codon, and T loops). Further hydrogen bonds mediate the characteristic L-shaped molecular structure. tRNAs have two regions of fundamental functional importance: the anti-codon, which is responsible for specific mRNA codon recognition, and the 3' end, to which the tRNAs corresponding amino acid is attached (by aminoacyl-tRNA synthetases). tRNAs cope with the degeneracy of the genetic code in two manners: having more than one tRNA (with a specific anti-codon) for a particular amino acid; and 'wobble' base-pairing, i.e. permitting non-standard base-pairing at the 3rd anti-codon position. Lineage: Bacteria; Bacillati; Bacillota; Bacilli; Lactobacillales; Enterococcaceae. RNAcentral also lists the same sequence under 2 other names. The record is from RNAcentral.